CGGUGCGAUCAUACCAGCACUAAUGCACCGAUCCAUCAGAAUGCGAGAGUAGUACUAGGAUGGUGACCUCCUGGAAGUCCUCGUGUUGCACCCC
This 94-nucleotide ribosomal RNA is filed under the name Salix viminalis (osier). The record is from RNAcentral. Lineage: Eukaryota; Viridiplantae; Streptophyta; Magnoliopsida; Malpighiales; Salicaceae.